AGGCAAUAACAGGUCUGUGAUGCCCUUAGAUGUUUUGGGCCGCACGCGCGCUACACUGAUCAAGUCAACGAGUUUACAACCUUGGCCGGAAGGUCUGGGUAAUCUUUUGAAACUUGAUCGUGCUGGGGAUAGUCCAUUGCAAUUAUUGGUCUUCAACGAGGAAUUCCUAGUAAGCGUGAGUCAUCAGCUGGCGUUGAUUACGUCCCUGCCCUUUGUACACACCGCCGGUCGUUACUANGGAUUGAAUGGUUUAGUGAGGCUUUGGGAUUGGAC
RNAcentral lists this ribosomal RNA (273 nucleotides) under uncultured fungus. Its description in RNAcentral is "partial 18S ribosomal RNA". It matches the Rfam family "Eukaryotic small subunit ribosomal RNA", at positions 1448 to 1720 of the family's 1831-position model. Lineage: Eukaryota; Fungi. The record is from RNAcentral.